UACGAAGGGGGCUAGCGUUGCUCGGAAUUACUGGGCGUAAAGCGCACGUAGGCGGCUUUCUAAGUCGGGGGUGAAAUCCAGGAGCUCAACUCCAGAACUGCCUUCGAUACUGGAGAGCUUGAGUCCGGGAGAGGUGAGUGGAACUGCGAGUGUAGAGGUGAAAUUCGUAGAUAUUCGCAAGAACACCAGUGGCGAAGGCGGCUCACUGGCCCGGUACUGACGCUGAGGUGCGAAAGCGUGGGGAGCAAACAGG
Molecule: ribosomal RNA, 253 nt
Filed under: uncultured bacterium
Lineage: Bacteria
Description: partial 16S ribosomal RNA
Rfam family: Bacterial small subunit ribosomal RNA
Source: RNAcentral